UCUUCCCGGAAACUCACAAAAUACGCUGGAUACCUUGGAUAUCAGGCCUUGUUCAGACGGCCCUUUAUGCGGACUUCUUUUACUAUUACAUUAAAAGUUGGAAAAAUCAUGAGAAGUUGAAGCUUCCGGCGUGAAGCACACAGUCCUUGGGUCAGAGGGUAGGGAGGAAGCAAAUGCAAAUUGCGGAGGCAAGGCAUUUUAAGCUGAGCAGGACACAUGGGCUUUUCUCUCUUACAAUGGCUCUACUUUAAUCGCUCAAAUGGAUGAUGAGCGCUGUGGUCUUCAACUUGAUUAUGUGUUUAACUAGUCUUUAGCCAUAGUUAUCGACUUGGAGGACUAGCAAUGUAAAUAUCUGCUUCUCUUAAACUUAGUUGUCAUCCCCAGGGUCCCUCCUGGCUACAUUGAGGAGGCUUUUAUUACCGACUGAUUCUACUUGGCGGGUGCUCUUUUUCGAUA
Eucalyptus grandis is the source of this 456-nucleotide long non-coding RNA. RefSeq lists it as uncharacterized. The transcript has 3 exons. NCBI's taxonomy places the organism in Eukaryota, Viridiplantae, Streptophyta, Magnoliopsida, Myrtales, Myrtaceae. The record is from RefSeq and is a predicted model, not a curated record.